RNAcentral lists this microRNA (23 nucleotides) under Mus musculus (house mouse). RNAcentral's name for it is "mmu-miR-6976-5p". The record is from miRBase by way of RNAcentral. Lineage: Eukaryota; Metazoa; Chordata; Mammalia; Rodentia; Muridae.
CAGGGAAGUUGAGAGGAAAAUUG